RNAcentral lists this long non-coding RNA (862 nucleotides) under Equus asinus (donkey). Its description in RNAcentral is "lncRNA (ENSEASG00005024975.1)". The record is from RNAcentral. Lineage: Eukaryota; Metazoa; Chordata; Mammalia; Perissodactyla; Equidae.
CAUUUUAUUAGUGAUUCUGUCCCGGCGUUGAAAAAGGCCCGGUUACGUUAUUUGGGAACGAACGCGUACACUAAACAAUGUUGUAUCUGGACACUGAAGUUUUGCUUGCAAUUUCUUCCGGGGCGUGCUUGAAAAGGGUGGAGCAUCGUGUUUCUUCAGUCCUGGAAGCAUCGAGGCUGUCCUCGGGAGACUUGUUUGGGCAGUAGAGACUGACACAGGGACGAGAUCCGGGGCCUCUCGUUCCAGCAAAAGGCCCUGAAGAAGGCAGAUGAGGUGAAAUUGUAACACAUCUGCAGUUUUCUGAGGCACGUUGUCUCCAACAUUUAUUGCUACACAACAAACUCUCCCGAAAAUGUAGUAGCUAGAGCAAGGACCAUUUUAUUAUUUCCUGUAAUUCUGUGGGUGAGAAAUUCAUACUGGGCAUGUGAUGUCUGCUGGGGCUGGAAUACCCAAGAUGGCCUCUUCAUUCACACCUGUGAUACUGAGCUAGAAUAGCUGGGGUCCUAUGUCUAGGCCUCUAUUUUUGCUGCCAGCUGGGUUCCUCAGCUUUAUUCCUUGUUCUCAGAACCUGUCCCUCUUCAAUUGACCCCUUCUUAUGCCCUUUCCAGUGGGAUGGCUCGACUACUUGCCCUGAGUUUCCAUGAGCAUAAAAUAGAAUAUGCCAAGCCUUCUUUCUGUUUUGACCUAGAGCUGGCACAGCAUCUCUUGCAUCACAUUCUGUUAAUUAAAGCAAGUUGUAGACCCAGUGCAGAUUCAAGGAAAGGGAGACUGCAUUUCAUUUCAGCGAGUGAAUUAUCCUGAUAUGCACUCUAAAGAUCUACUAAAGGGAAUCUGUUUUUGAUUCCCUGAGGUAGAGUAUGUC